AUUGAACGCUGGCGGCAUGCCUUACACAUGCAAGUCGAACGGCAGCAUGGAGAGCUUGCUCUCUGAUGGCGAGUGGCGAACGGGUGAGUAAUGCAUCGGAACGUACCGUGUAAUGGGGGAUAACGUAGCGAAAGUUACGCUAAUACCGCAUACGACCUGAGGGUGAAAGCAGGGGAUCGCAAGACCUUGCGUUAUACGAGCGGCCGAUGUCAGAUUAGCUAGUUGGUGAGGUAAAGGCUCACCAAGGCGACGAUCUGUAGCGGGUCUGAGGUGAUGAUCCGCCACACAGGGAGUGAGACACGGUCCAGACGCCUACGGGAGGCAGGAGUGGGGAACUUUGGGCAAUGGGGGCAACCCUGAUCCAGCCAGGCCGCGUGAGUGAAGAAGGCCUUCGGGUUGUGAAGCUCUUUCGGCCGGGAAGAAAUCGCACAGGCUAAUACUCUGUGUGGAUGACGGUACCGGCAUAAGAAGCACCGGCUAACUACGUGCCAGCAGCCGCAGUAA
This 504-nucleotide ribosomal RNA is filed under the name uncultured bacterium. RNAcentral's name for it is "partial 16S ribosomal RNA". It matches the Rfam family "Bacterial small subunit ribosomal RNA", at positions 29 to 523 of the family's 1533-position model. The record is from RNAcentral.